AGCUGUAAGUAAGCUUUGAUCCAGAGAUUUCCGAAUGGGGAAACCCAGCAUGAGUUAUGUCAUGUUAUCGAUAUGUGAAUACAUAGCAUAUCAGAAGGCACACCCGGAGAACUGAAACAUCUUAGUACCCGGAGGAAGAGAAAGAAAAUUCGAUUCCCUUAGUAGCGGCGAGCGAAACGGGAAGAGCCCAAACCAACAAGCUUGCUUGUUGGGGUUGUAGGACACUCUAUACGGAGUUACAAAGGACGACAUUAGACGAAUCAUCUGGAAAGAUGAAUCAAAGAAGGUAAUAAUCCUGUAGUCGAAAAUGUUGUCUCUCUUGAGUGGAUCCUGAGUACGACGGAGCACGUGAAAUUCCGUCGGAAUCUGGGAGGACCAUCUCCUAAGGCUAAAUACUCUCUAGUGACCGAUAGUGAACCAGUACCGUGAGGGAAAGGUGAAAAGCACCCCGGAAGGGGAGUGAAAUAGAACCUGAAACCGUGUGCUUACAAGUAGUCAGAGCCCGUUAAUGGGUGAUGGCGUGCCUUUUGUAGAAUGAACCGGCGAGUUACGAUUUGAUGCAAGGUUAAGCAGUAAAUGUGGAGCCGUAGCGAAAGCGAGUCUGAAUAGGGCGUUUAGUAUUUGGUCGUAGACCCGAAACCAGGUGAUCUACCCUUGGUCAGGUUGAAGUUCAGGUAACACUGAAUGGAGGACCGAACCGACUUACGUUGAAAAGUGAGCGGAUGAACUGAGGGUAGCGGAGAAAUUCCAAUCGAACCUGGAGAUAGCUGGUUCUCUCCGAAAUAGCUUUAGGGCUAGCCUCAAGUGAUGAUUAUUGGAGGUAGAGCACUGUUUGGACGAGGGGCCCCUCUCGGGUUACCGAAUUCAGACAAACUCCGAAUGCCAAUUAAUUUAACUUGGGAGUCAGAACAUGGGUGAUAAGGUCCGUGUUCGAAAGGGAAACAGCCCAGACCACCAGCUAAGGUCCCAAAAUAUAUGUUAAGUGGAAAAGGAUGUGGCGUUGCCCAGACAACUAGGAUGUUGGCUUAGAAGCAGCCAUCAUUUAAAGAGUGCGUAAUAGCUCACUAGUCGAGUGACACUGCGCCGAAAAUGUACCGGGGCUAAACAUAUUACCGAAGCUGUGGAUUGUCCUUUGGACAAUGGUAGGAGAGCGUUCUAAGGGCGUUGAAGCAUGAUCGUAAGGACAUGUGGAGCGCUUAGAAGUGAGAAUGCCGGUGUGAGUAGCGAAAGACGGGUGAGAAUCCCGUCCACCGAUUGACUAAGGUUUCCAGAGGAAGGCUCGUCCGCUCUGGGUUAGUCGGGUCCUAAGCUGAGGCCGACAGGCGUAGGCGAUGGAUAACAGGUUGAUAUUCCUGUACCACCUAUAAUCGUUUUAAUCGAUGGGGGGACGCAGUAGGAUAGGCGAAGCGUGCGAUUGGAUUGCACGUCUAAGCAGUAAGGCUGAGUAUUAGGCAAAUCCGGUACUCGUUAAGGCUGAGCUGUGAUGGGGAGAAGACAUUGUGUCUUCGAGUCGUUGAUUUCACACUGCCGAGAAAAGCCUCUAGAUAGAAAAUAGGUGCCCGUACCGCAAACCGACACAGGUAGUCAAGAUGAGAAUUCUAAGGUGAGCGAGCGAACUCUCGUUAAGGAACUCGGCAAAAUGACCCCGUAACUUCGGGAGAAGGGGUGCUCUUUAGGGUUAACGCCCAGAAGAGCCGCAGUGAAUAGGCCCAAGCGACUGUUUAUCAAAAACACAGGUCUCUGCUAAACCGUAAGGUGAUGUAUAGGGGCUGACGCCUGCCCGGUGCUGGAAGGUUAAGAGGAGUGGUUAGCUUCUGCGAAGCUACGAAUCGAAGCCCCAGUAAACGGCGGCCGUAACUAUAACGGUCCUAAGGUAGCGAAAUUCCUUGUCGGGUAAGUUCCGACCCGCACGAAAGGCGUAACGAUUUGGGCACUGUCUCAACGAGAGACUCGGUGAAAUCAUAGUACCUGUGAAGAUGCAGGUUACCCGCGACAGGACGGAAAGACCCCGUGGAGCUUUACUGUAGCCUGAUAUUGAAAUUCGGCACAGCUUGUACAGGAUAGGUAGGAGCCUUUGAAACGUGAGCGCUAGCUUACGUGGAGGCGCUGGUGGGAUACUACCCUAGCUGUGUUGGCUUUCUAACCCGCACCACUUAUCGUGGUGGGAGACAGUGUCAGGCGGGCAGUUUGACUGGGGCGGUCGCCUCCUAAAAGGUAACGGAGGCGCUCAAAGGUUCCCUCAGAAUGGUUGGAAAUCAUUCAUAGAGUGUAAAGGCAUAAGGGAGCUUGACUGCGAGACCUACAAGUCGAGCAGGGUCGAAAGACGGACUUAGUGAUCCGGUGGUUCCGCAUGGAAGGGCCAUCGCUCAACGGAUAAAAGCUACCCCGGGGAUAACAGGCUUAUCUCCCCCAAGAGUUCACAUCGACGGGGAGGUUUGGCACCUCGAUGUCGGCUCAUCGCAUCCUGGGGCUGUAGUCGGUCCCAAGGGUUGGGCUGUUCGCCCAUUAAAGCGGUACGCGAGCUGGGUUCAGAACGUCGUGAGACAGUUCGGUCCCUAUCCGUCGUGGGCGUAGGAAAUUUGAGAGGAGCUGUCCUUAGUACGAGAGGACCGGGAUGGACAUACCUCUGGUGUACCAGUUGUCGUGCCAACGGCAUAGCUGGGUAGCUAUGUGUGGACGGGAUAAGUGCUGAAAGCAUCUAAGCAUGAAGCCCCCCUCAAGAUGAGAUUUCCCAACUUCGGUUAUAAGAUCCCUCAAAGAUGAUGAGGUUAAUAGGUUCGAGGUGGAAGCAUGGUGACAUGUGGAGCUGACGAAUACUAAUCGAUCGAAGACUUAAUCAA
RNAcentral lists this ribosomal RNA (2840 nucleotides) under Staphylococcus aureus. RNAcentral describes it as "partial 23S ribosomal RNA". It matches the Rfam family "Bacterial large subunit ribosomal RNA". The record is from RNAcentral. Lineage: Bacteria; Bacillati; Bacillota; Bacilli; Caryophanales; Staphylococcaceae.